Podarcis lilfordi (Lilford's wall lizard) is the source of this 88-nucleotide non-coding RNA. NCBI's taxonomy places the organism in Eukaryota, Metazoa, Chordata, Lepidosauria, Squamata, Lacertidae. The record is from the annotation of a GenBank genome assembly.
ACCUUAGAGACCAACUAAGUUUGUUUUGGGUAUAAGCUUUUGUGUGCAUAAGCUUAUACCCAGAACAAACUUAGUUUUUCUCUAAGGU